RNAcentral lists this ribosomal RNA (1372 nucleotides) under uncultured bacterium. RNAcentral's name for it is "bacterial SSU rRNA". It matches the Rfam family "Bacterial small subunit ribosomal RNA", at positions 28 to 1381 of the family's 1533-position model. The record is from RNAcentral.
GAUGAACGCUGGCGGCGUGCCUAAUACAUGCAAGUCGAGCGAACGGACGAGAAGCUUGCUUCUCUGAUGUUAGCGGCGGACGGGUGAGUAACACGUGGAUAACCUACCUAUAAGACUGGGAUAACUUCGGGAAACCGGAGCUAAUACCGGAUAAUAUUUUGAACCGCAUGGUUCAAAAGUGAAAGACGGUCUUGCUGUCACUUAUAGAUGGAUCCGCGCUGCAUUAGCUAGUUGGUGAGGUAACGGCUUACCAAGGCAACGAUGCAUAGCCGACCUGAGAGGGUGAUCGGCCACACUGGAACUGAGACACGGUCCAGACUCCUACGGGAGGCAGCAGUAGGGAAUCUUCCGCAAUGGGCGAAAGCCUGACGGAGCAACGCCGCGUGAGUGAUGAAGGUCUUCGGAUCGUAAAACUCUGUUAUUAGGGAAGAACAUAUGUGUAAGUAACUGUGCACAUCUUGACGGUACCUAAUCAGAAAGCCACGGCUAACUACGUGCCAGCAGCCGCGGUAAUACGUAGGUGGCAAGCGUUUUCCGGAAUUAUUGGGCGUAAAGCGCGCGUAGGCGGUUUUUUAAGUCUGAUGUGAAAGCCCACGGCUCAACCGUGGAGGGUCAUUGGAAACUGGAAAACUUGAGUGCAGAAGAGGAAAGUGGAAUUCCAUGUGUAGCGGUGAAAUGCGCAGAGAUAUGGAGGAACACCAGUGGCGAAGGCGACUUUCUGGUCUGUAACUGACGCUGAUGUGCGAAAGCGUGGGGAUCAAACAGGAUUAGAUACCCUGGUAGUCCACGCCGUAAACGAUGAGUGCUAAGUGUUAGGGGGUUUCCGCCCCUUAGUGCUGCAGCUAACGCAUUAAGCACUCCGCCUGGGGAGUACGACCGCAAGGUUGAAACUCAAAGGAAUUGACGGGGACCCGCACAAGCGGUGGAGCAUGUGGUUUAAUUCGAAGCAACGCGAAGAACCUUACCAAAUCUUGACAUCCUUUGACAACUCUAGAGAUAGAGCUUUCCCCUUCGGGGGACAAAGUGACAGGUGGUGCAUGGUUGUCGUCAGCUCGUGUCGUGAGAUGUUGGGUUAAGUCCCGCAACGAGCGCAACCCUUAAGCUUAGUUGCCAUCAUUAAGUUGGGCACUCUAAGUUGACUGCCGGUGACAAACCGGAGGAAGGUGGGGAUGACGUCAAAUCAUCAUGCCCCUUAUGAUUUGGGCUACACACGUGCUACAAUGGACAAUACAAAGGGCAGCGAAACCGUGAGGUCAAGCAAAUCCCAUAAAGUUGUUCUCAGUUCGGAUUGUAGUCUGCAACUCGACUACAUGAAGCUGGAAUCGCUAGUAAUCGUAGAUCAGCAUGCUACGGUGAAUACGUUCCCGGGUCU